This 464-nucleotide ribosomal RNA is filed under the name uncultured bacterium. RNAcentral describes it as "bacterial SSU rRNA". It matches the Rfam family "Bacterial small subunit ribosomal RNA", at positions 28 to 507 of the family's 1533-position model. The record is from RNAcentral.
GACGAACGCUGGCGGCGCGCCUAACACAUGCAAGUCGAACGAGAGAUGAGGAGCUUGCUCUUCAAAUCGAGUGGCGAACGGGUGAGUAACGCGUGAGGAACCUGCCUCAAAGAGGGGGACAACAGUUGGAAACGACUGCUAAUACCGCAUAAGCGCACAGUACCGCAUGGUACAGAGCGAAAAACUCCGGUGGUAUAGGAUGGACCCGCGUCUGAUUAGUUAGUUGGCGGUGUAACGGACCACCAAGACGACGAUCAGUAGCCGGCUUGAGAGAGUGAACGGCCACAUUGGGACUGAGACACGGCCCAAACUCCUACGGGAGGCAGCAGUGGGGAAUAUUGCACAAUGGGGGAAACCCUGAUGCAGCAACGCCGCGUGAGUGAAGAAGUAUUUCGGAUGUAAAGCUCUAUCAGCAGGGAAGAAAAAUGACGGUACCUGACUAAGAAGCCCCGGNUAACUACGUG